AUCCCAUGUUUGGCUGAACAAGGACUAUAAUAAAUGAGACUAUGUAGUCCCCAAAUCAACCCCAACACCUUCUUACAUAGUCUCCCCAAAUUUCACCGGACUGUGGAAGACUGGAAGCAACGCUCGGUCGUUCUUCGCUUUUGGUCGCUCACUUGCAUCUUUCACUUCGGUCUCCUUCAACUAAACCAGAAAAGAAUCAUGAGCUGCUUCGGUUGUUGUGAUGAAGAUGAUAUGCAUAAAGCUACUGACAAUGGAGGUCCUUACAUGAGCUGCUUUGGGAAAUGAGGGAUUCAUCAUGAUUCCGGUAAUGCGCCCAAACGUGAAGAAGCCGUAAAGGCCUAGCCUAUUGAAGUUUUGCUUAUACCAGUAGAGGAGCUAAAGGAAAUUACAGAAAACUUUGGGACAAGUGCCUUGAUUGGGGAAGGUUCUUCUGUUGUAGUCCUUAGUCCUACGGAGCACCAAACAUGGUUCAAGUAUUAGCUUAGCAUAAGCCAGGCUUGAGAAGUCCAGGACUCUCAUAGAAAUUAAGGUGAGGCAUGGUAGUCCCGUGAAACAAACA
Molecule: long non-coding RNA, 559 nt
Organism: Rosa rugosa (rugosa rose)
Lineage: Eukaryota; Viridiplantae; Streptophyta; Magnoliopsida; Rosales; Rosaceae
Exons: 3
Source: RefSeq, a predicted model, not a curated record